Scylla paramamosain (green mud crab) is the source of this 1159-nucleotide long non-coding RNA. RefSeq lists it as uncharacterized. The transcript is spliced from 2 exons. The record is from RefSeq and is a predicted model, not a curated record. NCBI's taxonomy places the organism in Eukaryota, Metazoa, Arthropoda, Malacostraca, Decapoda, Portunidae.
UCUUCUUUAUGUUUAUUUGUUCUGUAUGUUUUAUUAGCUGUUAUGUUUCUCUCCUUUAAUUUACGGUCAGUUUUCAAUAAAUCCUCGGUAUGUUUUUAUGCUUUAUUUAUCGUAGCAAAUGUUAUGACGAGUGAAGGGAGAUUUAGAGUACAGAAUAUUCGAUUUAACCAUUGGAAUUCCUUUACCUCUCCCUGACACCUCCCUCACUAACCUGAUACCCUCCCUUCCUUACACCUCCCUUCCCUUCCUUUGCUUCUUUUCUCCUGAUAACCUCCCUUCCUUUGCUUCUCCUUUUCUCCUGGUACUCUCCUUUCCUUACAUUUACACCCUGAUACAGAUUCCCUCCCUUACACCUCCCUUCACUUCUUACACCCUUCCUUUGCUCGUCCUUUCCUCCCUUACACCUUCACCCUGAUACCUUGAUGCACUCUUGAUACCCUUCCUUACACCUACACCCUCCCUACCCUCCCUUACGCCUACACCCUCCCUUCCCUUCUCAAAAAAAAUAAUUUGCUUCUCCCUUCCUUUCUUUUCUAACUGUAAAAUCUCCCUUCUUAGCUCUCACUUCCUUGCUUUCCUCUCUCCUUUCCCCUCUCCCCCUUCCCUCCCUCACUUCCUCUUACCCUCACCCCCCCCCCAUCAUCCCCCACAACCUACUACUGAACGAACUUCCUUCUUCCUCCCUCACCCCAUCACCCCAUCUCCCCCAUCCUAUCCCCCUGACUCCCUCCUUCCCUUAUCCUCUUGUGCUUCUUACUCCCCUCUCCCUCCCUCUCCCUUUUGCUACCCGCUUCGCCAGUCACGCCUCAGUUGCAGGAACGAAGUCUUGCGGUUCGCUCUGGUCUUAGUCGUCAGCGUUUGAGACAGAGCAAGGGUUCGAUUCCCGGCAGCUGAUCCAUAUAAUAAUAUUGCCCCUUAGUUCAAUCAGGAUUCGGAUAUUCGAACUAUUCAAAGCCUCAAAAAAUCGUGUUAAACGGCCGAACCACUGUCACGUAUCCAAAGUGGUUCACUCAGUAUCAGGGGGACGUUUCGGAGCUUCAGACUUUGCGGUUCACUGUUUCGUUAUCACCGGUUCGCCUCAGUGGUGAUCCGGUUCCGCGGAGGCCGGCUGUGGUUCGGUUCCUAGGCCUCCCCGCCACCCCCACCCGCCACCAUGUCG